AGCGUACACGGUGGAUGCCCUGGCAGUCAGAGGCGAUGAAGGACGUGCUAAUCUGCGAAAAGCGUCGGUAAGGUGAUAUGAACCGUUAUAACCGGCGAUGUCCGAAUGGGGAAACCCAGUGCAAUUCGUUGCACUAUCGUUAACUGAAUACAUAGGUUAACGAGGCGAACCGGGGGAACUGAAACAUCUAAGUACCCCGAGGAAAAGAAAUCAACCGAGAUUCCCCCAGUAGCGGCGAGCGAACGGGGAGCAGCCCAGAGUCUGAAUCAGCUUGUGUGUUAGUGGAACGGUCUGGAAAGUCCGACGGUACAGGGUGAUAGUCCCGUACACCAAAAUGCACAGGCUGUGAACUCGAAGAGUAGGGCGGGACACGUGGUAUCCUGUCUGAAUAUGGGGGGACCAUCCUCCAAGGCUAAAUACUCCUGACUGACCGAUAGUGAACCAGUACCGUGAGGGAAAGGCGAAAAGAACCCCGGCGAGGGGAGUGAAAAAGAACCUGAAACCGUGUACGUACAAGCAGUGGGAGCACCUUCGGGUGUGACUGCGUACCUUUUGUAUAAUGGGUCAGCGACUUAUAUUCUGUAGCAAGGUUAACCGAAUAGGGGAGCCGAAGGGAAACCGAGUCUUAACUGGGCGUUAAGUUGCAGGGUAUAGACCCGAAACCCGGUGAUCUAGCCAUGGGCAGGUUGAAGGUUGGGUAACACUAACUGGAGGACCGAACCGACUAAUGUUGAAAAAUUAGCGGAUGACUUGUGGCUGGGGGUGAAAGGCCAAUCAAACCGGGAGAUAGCUGGUUCUCCCCGAAAGCUAUUUAGGUAGCGCCUCGUGAAUUCAUCUUCGGGGGUAGAGCACUGUUUCGGCUAGGGGGUCAUCCCGACUUACCAACCCGAUGCAAACUACGAAUACCGAAGAAUGUUAUCACGGGAGACACACGGCGGGUGCUAACGUCCGUCGUGAAGAGGGAAACAACCCAGACCGCCAGCUAAGGUCCCAAAGUCAUGGUUAAGUGGGAAACGAUGUGGGAAGGCACAGACAGCCAGGAUGUUGGCUUAGAAGCAGCCAUCAUUUAAAGAAAGCGUAAUAGCUCACUGGUCGAGUCGGCCUGCGCGGAAGAUGUAACGGGGCUAAACCAUGCACCGAAGCUGCGGCAGCGACACUAUGUGUUGUUGGGUAGGGGAGCGUUCUGUAAGCCUGCGAAGGUGUGCUGUGAGGCAUGCUGGAGGUAUCAGAAGUGCGAAUGCUGACAUAAGUAACGAUAAAGCGGGUGAAAAGCCCGCUCGCCGGAAGACCAAGGGUUCCUGUCCAACGUUAAUCGGGGCAGGGUGAGUCGACCCCUAAGGCGAGGCCGAAAGGCGUAGUCGAUGGGAAACAGGUUAAUAUUCCUGUACUUGGUGUUACUGCGAAGGGGGGACGGAGAAGGCUAUGUUAGCCGGGCGACGGUUGUCCCGGUUUAAGCAUGUAGGCUGGUUAUCCAGGCAAAUCCGGAUAAUCAAGGCUGAGGUGUGAUGACGAGGCACUACGGUGCUGAAGUAACAAAUGCCCUGCUUCCAGGAAAAGCCUCUAAGCAUCAGGUAACAUCAAAUCGUACCCCAAACCGACACAGGUGGUCAGGUAGAGAAUACCAAGGCGCUUGAGAGAACUCGGGUGAAGGAACUAGGCAAAAUGGUGCCGUAACUUCGGGAGAAGGCACGCUGAUAUGUAGGUGAAGUCCCUCGCGGAUGGAGCUGAAAUCAGUCGAAGAUACCAGCUGGCUGCAACUGUUUAUUAAAAACACAGCACUGUGCAAACACGAAAGUGGACGUAUACGGUGUGACGCCUGCCCGGUGCCGGAAGGUUAAUUGAUGGGGUUAUCCGUAAGGAGAAGCUCUUGAUCGAAGCCCCGGUAAACGGCGGCCGUAACUAUAACGGUCCUAAGGUAGCGAAAUUCCUUGUCGGGUAAGUUCCGACCUGCACGAAUGGCGUAAUGAUGGCCAGGCUGUCUCCACCCGAGACUCAGUGAAAUUGAACUCGCUGUGAAGAUGCAGUGUACCCGCGGCAAGACGGAAAGACCCCGUGAACCUUUACUAUAGCUUGACACUGAACAUUGAGCCUUGAUGUGUAGGAUAGGUGGGAGGCUUUGAAGCGUGGACGCCAGUCUGCGUGGAGCCAACCUUGAAAUACCACCCUUUAAUGUUUGAUGUUCUAACGUUGGCCCCUUACCGGGGUUGCGGACAGUGUCUGGUGGGUAGUUUGACUGGGGCGGUCUCCUCCCAAAGCGUAACGGAGGAGCACGAAGGUUAGCUAAUCCUGGUCGGACAUCAGGAGGUUAGUGCAAUGGCAUAAGCUAGCUUGACUGCGAGCGUGACGGCGCGAGCAGGUGCGAAAGCAGGUCAUAGUGAUCCGGUGGUUCUGAAUGGAAGGGCCAUCGCUCAACGGAUAAAAGGUACUCCGGGGAUAACAGGCUGAUACCGCCCAAGAGUUCAUAUCGACGGCGGUGUUUGGCACCUCGAUGUCGGCUCAUCACAUCCUGGGGCUGAAGUAGGUCCCAAGGGUAUGGCUGUUCGCCAUUUAAAGUGGUACGCGAGCUGGGUUUAGAACGUCGUGAGACAGUUCGGUCCCUAUCUGCCGUGGGCGCUGGAGAACUGAGGGGGGCUGCUCCUAGUACGAGAGGACCGGAGUGGACGCAUCACUGGUGUUCGGGUUGUCAUGCCAAUGGCACUGCCCGGUAGCUAAAUGCGGAAGAGAUAAGUGCUGAAAGCAUCUAAGCACGAAACUUGCCCCGAGAUGAGUUCUCCCUGACUCCUUGA
This 2786-nucleotide ribosomal RNA is filed under the name human gut metagenome. RNAcentral's name for it is "bacterial LSU rRNA". It matches the Rfam family "Bacterial large subunit ribosomal RNA". The record is from RNAcentral.